RNAcentral lists this long non-coding RNA (2696 nucleotides) under Salmo salar (Atlantic salmon). Its description in RNAcentral is "lncRNA (ENSSSAG00000083109.1)". Lineage: Eukaryota; Metazoa; Chordata; Actinopteri; Salmoniformes; Salmonidae. The record is from RNAcentral.
UUACAGUGAAAUGCUGAAUACAACAGGUGUAGUAGACCUUACAGUAAAAUGCUGAAUACAACAGGUGUAGUAGACCUCACAGUGAAAUGCUGAAUACAACAGGUGUAGUAGACCUCACAGUGAAAUGCUGAAUACAACAGGUGUAGACCUCACAGUGAAAUGCUGAAUACAACAGGUGUAGACCUCACAGUGAAAUGCUGAAUACAACAGGUCUAGUAGACCUUACAGUGAAAUGCUGAAUACAACAGGUGUAGUAGACCUUACAGUGAAAUGCUGAAUACAACAGGUGUAGUAGACCUUACAGUGAAAUGCUUACUUACAAGCCCUUAACCAACAAUGCAGUUUUUAAGAAAAUACGUGAAAAAGUAAGAGAUAAGAAUAACAAAUAAUUAAAGAGCAGCAGUAAAUAACAAUAACGAGACUAUAUACAGGGGGAACCGGUACAGAGUCAAUGUGGAGGCUAUAUACAGGGGAUACCGGUACAGAGUCAAUGUGGAGGCUAUAUACAGGGGGAACCGGUACAGAGUCAAUGUGGAGGCUAUAUACAGGGGGUACCGGUACAGAGUCAAUGUGGAGGCUAUAUACAGGGGGAACCGGUACAGAGUCAAUGUGGAGGCUAUAUACAGGGGGUACCGGUACAGAGUCAAUGUGGAGGCUAUAUACAGGGGGGUACCGGUACAGAGUCAAUGUGGAGGCUAUAUACAGGGGGUACCGGUACAGAGUCAAUGUGGAGGCUAUAUACAGGGGGAACCGGUACAGAGUCAAUGUGGAGGCUAUAUACAGGGUGUUAUGGUACAGAGUCAAUGUGGAGGCUAUAUACAGGGGGUACAGGUACAGAGUCAAUGUGGAGGCUAUAUACAGGGGGUACCGGUACAGAGUCAAUGUGGAGGCUAUAUACAGGGGGUACCGGUACAGAGUCAAUGUGGAGGCUAUAUACAGGGGGUACCGGUACAGAGUCUAUGUGUGGGGGCACCGUUUUCGAGGUAAUUGAGGUAUUAUGUACAUGUAGGUAGAGUUAUUAAAGUGACUAUGCAUAGAUAAUAACAGAGAGUAGCAGCAGCGUAAAAUAGGAGGGGGGGCAAUGUAAAUAGUCUGGGUAGCCAUUUGAUUAGCUGUUCAGCAGUCUUAUGGCUUGGGGGUAGAAGCUGUUCAGGAGCCUCUUGGACCUAGACUUGGCGCUCCGGUACCACUUGCCGUGCGGAAGCAGAGAGAACAGUCUACGACUAGGGUGGCUGGAGUCUGACAAUUUUUUGGGGCCUUUCUCUGACACCGCCUGGUAUAGAAGUCCUGGAUGGCAGGGAGAUUGGCCCCAGUGAUGUACUGGGCAUCUCUGUUUUGAGUAGUGUACUGUACCUUUCAGGCAAGUAUAACUAAACCCCCGUAACUAUACCAGCCAGCAUCGCUCCAUUCUAUCUGUUUUGCCAGUGUUGAUAGGAGGUCGAGGAGAGAGAGGUCUCACAGUGGGCUUCGUAUCCCAGGUGCACACUAAUCUUACACAUAUCCCGUCAUUAUAGUAGAUGCCUGGAAUUGAAGGUGUUGACACAAAAAUAGGUAGUGUUAAUGAAGUGCCUGUACGGUGGUGGGAACAGCUGGCUACAGGAGGGCCGGGCACUUAAUGGCAGGUGGUAAACACUCUUAUUUAAAUGGUGUCCAUCUUCACUCGUCACUCUUCCUCUACCAGUCUUCUGUCCUUCAUCUUUACCUGAAUAUCUACGAUAGGCCUUAGUUCUCAGAGCUAUACAGGAGAGGAUAGGAGCAUCUCUAUUGGAGGAGAGGAUAGGAGCAUCUCUAUUGGAGGAGAGGAUGGGACCGUCUCUAUUGGAGGAGAGAAUAUGAGGGUCUCUAUUGGAGGAGAGGAUGGGAGCGUCUCUAUUGGAGGAGAGGAUAGGAGCAUCUCUAUUGGAGGAGAGGAUAGGAGCAUCUCUAUUGGAGGAGAGGAUGGGAGCGUCUCUAUUGGAGGAAAGGAUAGGAGCGUCUCUAUUGGAGGAGAGGAUGGGAGCAUCUCUAUUGGAGGAGAGGAUGGGAGCGUCUCUAUUGGAGGAGAGGAUAGGAGCAUCUCUAUUGGAGGAGAGGAUAUGAGCAUCUCUAUUGGAGGAGAGGAUAUGAGCAUCUCUAUUGGAGGAGAGGAUAGGACCAUCUCUAUUGGAGGAGAGAAUAUGAGGGUCUCUAUUGGAGGAGAGGAUAUGAGCGUCUCUAUUGGAGGAGAGGGUAGAAGCAUCUCUAUUGGAGGAGAGGAUAUGAGCAUCUCCAUUGGAGGAGAGGAUAGGAGCAUCUCUAUUGGAGGAGAGGAUAGGAGCAUCUCUAUUGGAGGAGAGGAUGGGAGCGUCUCUAUUGGAGGAGAGGAUGGGAGCGUCUCUAUUGGAGGAGAGGAUAGGAGCGUCUCUAUUGGAGGAGAGGAUAGGAGUGUCUCCAUUGGAGGAGAGGAUAGGAGCAUCUCUAUUGGAGGAGAGGGUAGGAUUUAUUUUGGAGGGGGGGGUUGUGUAACAGACCAGCAGCUGGUAUAGAGACAGUCAGUUUAUCUGAUGUUGUUCAGACCAGCAGCUGGUAUAGAGACAGUCAGUUUAUCUGAUGUUGUUCAGACCAGCAGCUGGUAUAGAGACAGUCAGUUUCUCUGAUGUUGUUCAGACCAGCAGCUGGUAUAGAGACAGUCAGUUUCUCUGAUGUUAUUCAGACCAGCAGCUGGUAUAGAGACAGUC